UACGGAGGGUGCAAGCGUUAUCCGGAUGCACUGGGUUUAAAGGGUGCGUAGGCGGGCAUGUAAGUCCGUGGUGAAAUCUCCGAGCUUAACUCGGAAACUGCCAUGGAUACUAUGUGUCUUGAAUGUUGUGGAGGUGAGCGGAAUAUGUCAUGUAGCGGUGAAAUGCUUAGAUAUGACAUAGAACACCAAUUGCGAAGGCAGCUCACUACACAAAUAUUGACGCUGAGGCACGAAAGCGUGGGGAUCAAACAGG
Molecule: ribosomal RNA, 253 nt
Filed under: uncultured bacterium
Lineage: Bacteria
Description: partial 16S ribosomal RNA
Rfam family: Bacterial small subunit ribosomal RNA
Source: RNAcentral